UGGGGAAUAUUGGACAAUGGGCGGAAGCCUGAUCCAGCCAUGCCGCGUGUGUGAAGAAGGCCUUUUGGUUGUAAAGCACUUUAAGCGAGGAGGAGGCUACUUGGAUUAAUACUCUAGGAUAGUGGACGUUACUCGCAGAAUAAGCACCGGCUAACUCUGUGCCAGCAGCCGCGGUAAUACAGAGGGUGCGAGCGUUAAUCGGAUUUACUGGGCGUAAAGCGUGCGUAGGCGGCUUCUUAAGUCGGAUGUGAAAUCCCUGAGCUUAACUUAGGAAUUGCAUUCGAUACUGGGAAGCUAGGAUAUGGGAGAGGAUGGUAGAAUUCCAGGUGUAGCGGUGAAAUGCGUAGAGAUCUGGAGGAAUACCGAUGGCGAAGGCAGCCAUCUGGCCUAAUACUGACGCUGAGGUACGAAAGCAUGGGGAGCAAACAGG
Molecule: ribosomal RNA, 430 nt
Filed under: bacterium
Lineage: Bacteria
Description: partial 16S ribosomal RNA
Rfam family: Bacterial small subunit ribosomal RNA
Source: RNAcentral